AGGACGAACGCUGGCGGCGUGCUUAACACAUGCAAGUCGAGCGGAAAGGCCCUUCGGGGUACUCGAGCGGCGAACGGGUGAGUAACACGUGAGUAAUCUGCCCCUAGCUCUGGGAUAGCUCCGGGAAACCGGGAUUAAUACCGGAUACGACCACCUUAGACAUCUUUUGUGGUGGAAAGAAUUUCGGCUAGGGUAUGAGCUCGCGGCCUAUCAGCUUGUUGGUGGGGUAACGCCUACCAAGGCGACGACGGGUA
This 254-nucleotide ribosomal RNA is filed under the name uncultured bacterium. RNAcentral describes it as "partial small subunit ribosomal RNA". It matches the Rfam family "Bacterial small subunit ribosomal RNA", at positions 26 to 285 of the family's 1533-position model. The record is from RNAcentral.